Molecule: ribosomal RNA, 253 nt
Filed under: uncultured bacterium
Lineage: Bacteria
Description: partial 16S ribosomal RNA
Rfam family: Bacterial small subunit ribosomal RNA
Source: RNAcentral
UACGGAGGGUGCAAGCGUUAUCCGGAUUUACUGGGUUUAAAGGGUGCGUAGGUGGAUUUGUAAGUCAGUGGUGAAAUCUCCGAGCUUAACUCGGAAACUGCCAUUGAUACUAUAAGUCUUGAAUUAUCUGGAGGUAAGCGGAAUAUGUCAUGUAGCGGUGAAAUGCUUAGAUAUGACAUAGAACACCAAUUGCGAAGGCAGCUUACUACACAGCGAUUGACGCUGAGGCACGAAAGCGUGGGGAUCAAACAGG